GAAAUGCGAAACGUAAUGCGAUCCGCACAUACCUGUGAGUCAUCGAGUCUUUGAACGCACAUGGCACUUGUCACCUCGGUGGCAAGUAUACCUGUUUGAGAAUCGGUUCCAAUCCUGACAUCGCCUUGAUGUCGACAUGACCGCUCUCCGGCAAGGAGUCGGUCCAAAUGGAGACGAGUGAGGCUGGCGAGACCGUGCGUCUGCGCCGUGUGGUACUGGACUUACACGUCCUCGAGCACGGAUGCAACGUGGGCGCACAAGGGUGGAGCCGGCACAAAAGACUCACUCGAGUUGGUUGUGUAUCAUAGCAACCCGUACGGAUGAAAGAAGGCCGUGAUCAGCGAUCUCAAAUCAGGCAAGGCUACCCGCUGAACUUAA
This 378-nucleotide unclassified non-coding RNA is filed under the name uncultured fungus. Its description in RNAcentral is "sequence contains ITS1". The stretch from base 1 to 105 matches the Rfam family "5.8S ribosomal RNA", at positions 50 to 154 of the family's 154-position model. Lineage: Eukaryota; Fungi. The record is from RNAcentral.